RNAcentral lists this ribosomal RNA (499 nucleotides) under uncultured Lachnospiraceae bacterium. Its description in RNAcentral is "bacterial SSU rRNA". It matches the Rfam family "Bacterial small subunit ribosomal RNA", at positions 1 to 507 of the family's 1533-position model. Lineage: Bacteria; Bacillati; Bacillota; Clostridia; Lachnospirales; Lachnospiraceae. The record is from RNAcentral.
CGAGAGUUUGAUCCUGGCGCAGGAUGAACGCUGGCGGCGUGCUUACACAUGCAAGUCGAGCGAAGCGAUAAGGUGAAAUUUUUCGGAAUGAAGCCAUAUUGACUUAGCGGCGGACGGGUGAGUAACGCGUGGGUAACCUGCCUCAUACAGGGGGAUAACAGUUAGAAAUGACUGCUAAUACCGCAUAAGCGCACGGGACUGCAUGGUCCAGUGUGAAAAACCGAGGUGGUAUGAGAUGGGCCCGCGUCUGAUUAGCUGGUUGCGGGGUAACGGCCCACCAAGGCGACGAUCAGUAGCCGACCUGAGAGGGUGGCCGGCCACAUUGGGACUGAGACACGGCCCAAACUCCUACGGGAGGCAGCAGUGGGGAAUAUUGCACAAUGGGGGAAACCCUGAUGCAGCAACGCCGCGUGAGUGAAGAAGUAUUUCGGUAUAUAAAGCUCUAUCAGCAGGGAAGAGAAUGACGGUACCUGACUAAGAAGCCCCGGCUAACUACGUG